GGGAAAGGAUAGGCGCCGCCGUGCUGCGUGAAGCUACCGCCGCCGUUCCUGCUGCCGUCCAGCCUCAGUUAGCACCGCCGAAGCUCCUGCCAUCACCGUCGUUGAGGAAGCUCACCGGAGUUGCUGGAGGCUACCGCCGCUCUACCUGGUUCUGUUUUGAGUCGCGCAACCGUGUCCGUGGCCGCCGGAGACCGUAUCUGAAGCCUCUGUCUUAUUGGGUUUUGGUUGUUGCAAGUUACUCGGCUAUACGCUGUUGUCGGAACCAGGCCAGAUUUACCGGUAACUGCUUCCUCCUUUCUUGAAUCUGUUCUAUUUCUAUUUUGCUCCGCUAUUCUGAUUUUAUUGAUAUCCCUGCUGCCUUACCAAUCGGAAUAGUGUUACUGCCAUCAGGACAGAUGCAUAGGUCCCUGAUUAUGUUCUUUGCUGCUCCGUCGUUUUGUUUUCUAUAGCUGCAGUAAGUUAUUUUAACCUUGAUAUCCUUACUGCUAUUAUUUUGCUAUGAAUUAUUGAGAAUUUCGUGAUAUUGACGUUCUAGGUCGAGUUUCGGUAAUUGCAUGGUUGGAGUAAAAGUUGUUGUGAAAGUAAACGGAACUGCGGUUGCAGCUGCCGCUGAAUGCGAGCCGAAAGAAAAAGAGUUUAUAUCUCGUAGUUAGAUCGCAAUCGAGGUAGGGGUUUUUCUUAAAAUCUAAUUUACAUUACAGAGUUGUGAUAAAUAGAUAUUGAUGCAAAAAGAUAUAUUUCUGUGAUUAUAUUUGUCUUGUGGAUGUGAUUGCUUGUUGGACUGAAUUAUUGGGUGUUUGAUUGCUUGAGUGAAGUAUGGUUGUUGAUAAGAAAUGGAUUUGGAAAAGUCAUUUACUUGAUUAUUAUAAAAAGUGGUUUUUCUUGAAUUGAAGUUAAAGGGGUUUGAUUUUGACUUUAUAAAUAAUUUUGGAAAGUGAUUGCGAUUUGGAAUUGGUUGAGAAAGGAUUUGAGAAAUGUCUGAAACAAUUCAAAGGAAUUUGAAUGAAAUUGAGAAUUUGAGUUGAAACAUGAAGGUAUCUGGUGAAGAAGAAGGUAGGGGAAGAAGCGGAGGAUAAUGGCCAGGAGGAAGAAGGCAACAAGUAGUUAAAAUUAGGGUUUAGUUCUCAAAUUUUAUAUGGGGAGAAUUUUAAAAUAUCAAAAGAUUUGUAUCUUUUGAUGUAAUUUUUAAUAAAUUUAAAUAAAUUAAAUAUAAACCAUUAGAUCGUUUAUCAAUUUAAUCUAAUGCUUUAAAUUAAAUGGUACAUCAGAUAAACUCAAAAGACUUGAGAUGAUUUUAGACAGACCACUUUUUAUCUAUCAAUUAUAUUUGGGUAUAAUAAUAUAAAAGUACUUUUUUGUUUAUUUAUUACAUGAAAAACAUCUUUUUUUUAAGGAAAAAAGAUCUUUUAAAAAAAAGAUGUAAAUUACAGUUUUUCAAAAAAGAUAUUUUUUAUUUUUCUAAUGUUUUUACUUUUACUAUUAGAAAUUUGUCAAACACGUUAAAAAACAAAAAAGAUUUUUUUAAAAAAAGAUUUUUUUUAAUAAAAAAAAUUUUUUUAUCAAAAUAAUGGUGCCCAAACAUGCACUUAAACUAGCGUUUGCUUUGAGGUACUGAGACAGAAACUGGAAGACUGACACUCAGUAUCGUGUUUGUUGGUUCAGAGACUGGUACUAAAAUUUCUAUCUCUGUUCCCAAAAUCUCAGUAUUUCAGUACUUCUAAAAUGUAGGGACACAGGGGACUCAAAUUUUUAGAGAUAGAGAUUGAAACUUUAAUAAUAUUUUAUACCUAAAAUAUUCUCAUUUCAAUUAAUUAAUUUCAAUUUUACCCUUUAUGCAAAUUAAAUUAGAGUUUCAUUCUUUUUUCAAUUUUUGUCUCUCACUUUGUACCAAAUAGAAUACUGAUAUUUAUUUUAAUCUCUGUCUCUUAAUCUCUGUCUCUCUAUCAAAGGCUAUCGUACUCAACUUUUUCUUUUAACUAAGUUCAAAUAUACUCCCUAUUUUGGACUAUUAUUUUAGAAUCUUUUCAAUUUUUUAAACAUAAAACAAAUAAAAGGGUAAAUUACUGAAAUAAAAAUGACAUUCUAGUAUCACACCACUCACUCUGGAUUGGUAUAUAUAGUAUGACUUGGUGCGUGCAUAAAUCGAUGGACUCCUUCCACGGUUUAUGCAUAUUUUGCAUCCUCACAGAAACUGUGGAACCCCUUCCACGAUUCUUUCCAAAUGCUUCAUCUCCAGCGGUUUACAUGUAUUUCAAAUUUGUGGGCGAAAGCUAGUGCACUCCAGAAAAAGUAGAGAGUGCAGCACUUCGCGCCGUCGUCGUCGCCGAAGGGAGCCAUCGUCGCUGUCAUCGGAACAGAGGGCGAGAGAGAGACAGAGAGCUCGCGGUGGGGGAAAGGAUAGGCGCCGCCGUGCUGCGUGAAGCUACCGCCGCCGUUCCUGCUGCCGUCCAGCCUCAGUUAGCACCGCCGAAGCUCCUGCCAUCACCGUCGUUGAGGAAGCUCACCGGAGUUGCUGGAGGCUACCGCCGCUCUACCUGGUUCUGUUUUGAGUCGCGCAACCGUGUCCGUGGCCGCCGGAGACCGUAUCUGAAGCCUCUGUCUUAUUGGGUUUUGGUUGUUGCAAGUUACUCGGCUAUACGCUGUUGUCGGAACCAGGCCAGAUUUACCGGU
RNAcentral lists this long non-coding RNA (2670 nucleotides) under Arachis ipaensis. Its description in RNAcentral is "long non-coding RNA (AIPA_LNC001023)". Lineage: Eukaryota; Viridiplantae; Streptophyta; Magnoliopsida; Fabales; Fabaceae. The record is from RNAcentral.